Non-coding RNA from Podarcis lilfordi (Lilford's wall lizard), 70 nucleotides. The record is from the annotation of a GenBank genome assembly. NCBI's taxonomy places the organism in Eukaryota, Metazoa, Chordata, Lepidosauria, Squamata, Lacertidae.
GGGUGGUGCAGUGGGUCAGUGCAUUUGGCUGUUAAGCAAAAGGUUGGUGGUUCGAGCCCAUCCAGGGACA